UACGAAGGGGGCUAGCGUUGCUCGGAAGUACUGGGCGUAAAGCGCACGUAGGCGGAUUGUUAAGUCGGGGGUGAAAUCCUGGAGCUCAACUCCAGAACUGCCUUCGAUACUGGCGAUCUCGAGUUCGGGAGAGGUGAGUGGAACUGCGAGUGUAGAGGUGAAAUUCGUAGAUAUUCGCAAGAACACCAGUGGCGAAGGCGGCUCACUGGCCCGAUACUGACGCUGAGGUGCGAAAGCGUGGGGAGCAAACAGG
RNAcentral lists this ribosomal RNA (253 nucleotides) under uncultured bacterium. RNAcentral's name for it is "partial 16S ribosomal RNA". It matches the Rfam family "Bacterial small subunit ribosomal RNA", at positions 524 to 776 of the family's 1533-position model. The record is from RNAcentral.